GACGAACGCUGGCGGCGUGCUUAACACAUGCAAGUCGAACGGAAAGGCCCUGCUUUUGUGGGGUGCUCGAGUGGCGAACGGGUGAGUAACACGUGAGUAACCUGCCCUUGACUUUGGGAUAACUUCAGGAAACUGGGGCUAAUACCGGAUAGGAGCUCCUGCUGCAUGGUGGGGGUUGGAAAGUUUCGGCGGUUGGGGAUGGACUCGCGGCUUAUCAGCUUGUUGGUGGGGUAGGGGCUUACCAAGGCAUUGACGGGUAGCCGGCCUGAGAGGGUGACCGGCCACAUUGGGACUGAGAUACGGCCCAGACUCCUACGGGAGGCAGCAGUGGGGAAUAUUGCACAGUGGGCGGAAGCCUGAUGCAGCAACGCCGCGUGCGGGAUGACGGCCUUCGGGUUGUAAACCGCUUUCGCCUGUGACGAAGCGUGAGUGACGGUAAUGGGUAAAGAAGCACCGGCUAACUACGUG
RNAcentral lists this ribosomal RNA (468 nucleotides) under uncultured bacterium. RNAcentral describes it as "partial 16S ribosomal RNA". It matches the Rfam family "Bacterial small subunit ribosomal RNA", at positions 28 to 507 of the family's 1533-position model. The record is from RNAcentral.